This 66-nucleotide non-coding RNA is filed under the name unclassified sequences. RNAcentral's name for it is "DUF3800-VIII RNA". It matches the Rfam family "DUF3800-VIII RNA". From Rfam's summary of the family: Bacteroidetes, Cyanobacteria, Firmicutes, Planctomycetes (1 example), Proteobacteria, Tenericutes (1 example). The record is from Rfam by way of RNAcentral.
CUCGCUUGGCCCAACCGAAGGCCUGCGUUUAUACGUGGGUUACUGAUGUAGGUGAGGCGGGGCGAG